UAUUGCUUUCUCUAAAUCUAAAUAGAUGGUAUAUAAGGAACAUGUUAGUCUUCAAUCUAACAAGAAAUAAAAUAUUAAGUGAAAUCUUACACAAUGGCCCUUAACAUCAAUCGAGCAUAUAUUUGUUGGAUGUUGAUCCUUUCUUUGGUUUUGGUUUCAGAAUUAGCAUUUGGUCUGGAUUUUCUGGGAAUAACAUGUGGUGGUAAAUGCAUAAAUCCUGGGGUGUGCAAUCAAGAUUGCAUCAACAGGGGCUAUCACAGAGGUGGUACCUGUUAUGAGAAUGUUUAUUGUUGUUGUUAUACAUGAUGAGUUAUUGUACCUACCAUAAAUUGAAAUAAAUAAAAUGCAUACAUAAAGUAUGUUUAGAGUUCAAA
Long non-coding RNA from Cicer arietinum (chickpea), 374 nucleotides. RefSeq lists it as uncharacterized. NCBI's taxonomy places the organism in Eukaryota, Viridiplantae, Streptophyta, Magnoliopsida, Fabales, Fabaceae. The record is from RefSeq and is a predicted model, not a curated record.